UCACCAUGUUCACUGUUAUAUUCACGUGUCUUUGGCUUUCACUAGGUGACUCCAUGGCAGAUUCAGUAGGGCCACGUUUCACUCAUAAAGUUGUAGAUGAAGAUGAUGAUGUUACUCUGUCCUGCAGCUACAAAACAACCAGUCCUACAGGAAACUACCUGCACUGGUACAGGCAGUAUCCAAAAUCUACACCUGAGUUCCUUCUUUAUAUUUCUGAUGGUGGAGCGUUAAGUUCCAACAUUCCCACAAGAAUGACUGCUAAAGUUAAUCGAGAUAAUAAAGAAGUGGAUCUACUCAUCUCCUCUGCUGCUGUAUCAGACUCUGCACUAUACUACUGUGCACUGGUGCCCACAGUGACAGGAAAUCCAACUGCACUGUACAAAAACUUUGACACAGUUUUGAUAUAUGGAAAGCAGUUCUUUGAGACAUUUACAUGCCAAUUCUGGGGAAUUUUUGUCUUGAGUUUAUAUUUUUGAGACAUAUUAGAAUUAUUAUGAGACAGCUCAUUCAUUUAUUCAUCUUCAGUAACCACUUUUCCUGGUCAGCAAUCCAGCGCUUUUCCUGAGAACACUGGGAGUGCAGGAGGAAUGUGAGAAAACCAAAAAAGAGAGCAUGCAAAAUAUUGCACAGACAGUAACCUGAGCUCACUGGUACCUGAAAGUAGAAACUGGGCCAGAAAAUCCUAACAUUGACUACGUUUACAUGGACAGCAUUAAUCUAAUUAUUGAUCUUACUCUGCUUAAGAUAAUAAUGUGAUUAAGGUGUCUACAUGAGUCGCUUUUAGCGCCACGCCGUCGGACGUCCUUCCAGAAUUUCACGUAUCGAUAUACAGUUCGUCUUCAUUAUGGUACCGUAUACAGUUUUUGUGUUUUUAUUUAUUUUUUUUUACGAACGCUUUAAGUGCAGUUAAUUAUUUGUCAUGCUAUACGUGCUAAUAGACAACUGCUUGAAGCCGUGGGUGUGUCCCAAAUCGCAUGGUUACUGUUUAUAUAGCAGCCAAGAUACAUGUAUUUUCUCCACUACAGGCCUAUAGUAGGAAAGUAUUCAAUCUGGGACGCGGCCGAACUCUCUUGUUCGCCGUCAAACGUAAAACUGCCGUGUGUAAUCGUGUCCUGUCGCAAAAUGCAGUGAAAACUCCCACACAACGUUCAUAAUGUGAUUAAGGUGUUUACAUGUCUGUAAUACUGGAUUGUUGUUGUCCAUGUAAAUGCAGCUAUUGUCUCAAAUCAAGUUGUAGAAACAUCUCAAGGAUGAUCAGUGGAAACAGGAUGCACCUGAGCUCAAUAUUCAGUGUCAUGGCAAAGUCUGUGAAUACUUAUGUA
Ictalurus punctatus (channel catfish) is the source of this 1322-nucleotide non-coding RNA. NCBI's taxonomy places the organism in Eukaryota, Metazoa, Chordata, Actinopteri, Siluriformes, Ictaluridae. The record is from the annotation of a RefSeq genome assembly.